AAUGGGGGAAACCCUGACGCAGCAACGCCGCGUGAAUGAAGAAGGCUUUCGGGUCGUAAAAUUCUGUCCUUAGGGAAGAAGAAAGUGACGGUACCUAAGGAGGAAGCCCCGGCUAACUACGUGCCAGCAGCCGCGGUAAUACGUAGGGGGCGAGCGUUGUCCGGAAUCACUGGGCGUAAAGGGCGCGUAGGCGGUAUAUUAAGUCAGGUGUGAAAGUUUUCGGCUCAACCGGAAAAGUGCACUUGAAACUAAUAAACUUGAGUACUGGAGAGGUAAGCGGAAUUCCUAGUGUAGCGGUGAAAUGCGUAGAUAUUAGGAGGAACACCGGUGGCGAAGGCGGCUUACUGGACAGAGACUGACGCUGAGGCGCGAAAGCGUGGGGAGCAAA
This 388-nucleotide ribosomal RNA is filed under the name uncultured bacterium. RNAcentral describes it as "bacterial SSU rRNA". It matches the Rfam family "Bacterial small subunit ribosomal RNA", at positions 370 to 772 of the family's 1533-position model. The record is from RNAcentral.